UAACGAAUAUUGGGCGAUGGGCGAAAGCCUGACCCAGCAAUGCCGCGUGCAGGAGGAAGUCCUUCGGGAUGUAAACUGCUGUCAGGGGUCAACAAGCAAAGGGGCCUAAUACGCCCUGGCGUUGAGUCGCCCCAGAGGAAGCCUCGACUAACUCUGUGCCAGCAGUCGCGGUAAGACAGAGGAGGCAAGCGUUGUUCGGAAUCACUGGGCUUAAAGCGCGUGUAGGCGGCUCAGCAAGUGUCGUGUGAAAUCCCCUGGCUCAACCAGGGAACUGCACGGCAAACUACUGGGCUUGAGGUCGGUAGAGGUGCCUGGAACUCUAGGUGGAGCGGUGAAAUGCGUAGAUAUCUAGAGGAACGCCAGAAGCGAAAGCGGGGCACUGGGCCGAUUCUGACGCUGAGACGCGAAAGCGUGGGGAGCAAACA
RNAcentral lists this ribosomal RNA (425 nucleotides) under uncultured prokaryote. RNAcentral's name for it is "bacterial SSU rRNA". It matches the Rfam family "Bacterial small subunit ribosomal RNA", at positions 355 to 774 of the family's 1533-position model. The record is from RNAcentral.